This 460-nucleotide ribosomal RNA is filed under the name uncultured bacterium. RNAcentral describes it as "partial 16S ribosomal RNA". It matches the Rfam family "Bacterial small subunit ribosomal RNA", at positions 338 to 795 of the family's 1533-position model. The record is from RNAcentral.
CCUACGGGAGGCAGCAGUGAGGAAUAUUGGUCAAUGGCCGUAAGGCUGAACCAGCCAUGCCGCGUGAAGGAAGAAGGAUCUAUGGUUUGUAAACUUCUUUUAUAGGGGAAUAAAGGUAUCCACGUGUGGCUAUUUGCAUGUACCCUAUGAAUAAGCAUCGGCUAACUCCGUGCCAGCAGCCGCGGUAAUACGGAGGAUGCGAGCGUUAUCCGGAUUUAUUGGGUUUAAAGGGUGCGUAGGUUGUUUUUUAAGUCAGCGGUGAAAGUUUGUGGCUCAACCAUAAAAUUGCCGUUGAAACUGGAAGACUUGAGUGUAGUUGAGGUAGGCGGAAUGCGUGGUGUAGCGGUGAAAUGCAUAGAUAUCACGCAGAACUCCGAUUGCGAAGGCAGCUUACUAAGCCAUAACUGACACUGAAGCACGAAAGCGUGGGGAUCAAACAGGAUUAGAUACCCGAGUAGUC